RNAcentral lists this ribosomal RNA (423 nucleotides) under uncultured Glomeraceae. Its description in RNAcentral is "SSU rRNA". It matches the Rfam family "Eukaryotic small subunit ribosomal RNA", at positions 459 to 886 of the family's 1831-position model. Lineage: Eukaryota; Fungi; Glomeromycota; Glomeromycetes; Glomerales; Glomeraceae. The record is from RNAcentral.
GGGAGGUAGUGACAAUAAAUAACAAUACAGGGUUCUUUGAAUCUUGUAAUUGGAAUGAGUACAAUUUAAAUCUCUUAACGAGGAACAAUUGGAGGGCAAGUCUGGUGCCAGCAGCCGCGGUAAUUCCAGCUCCAAUAGCGUAUAUUAAAGUUGUUGCAGUUAAAAAGCUCGUAGUUGAAUUUCGGGAUCAAUACGUCGGUCGUGCUUUUUUGGUACGCACUGGCGUCAUUGGUUUCUCCUUUCUGACGAACCAUGAUGUCAUUAAUUUGGUGUUAUGGGGAGUUAGGACUGUUACUUUGAAAAAUUAGAGUGUUUAAAGCAGGCAUUAGCUUGAAUACAUUAGCAUGGAAUAAUGAAAUAGGACGUUCGAUCCUAUUUUGUUGGUUUCUAGGAUCAACGUAAUGAUUAAUAGGGAUAGUUGGG